CGCUCGUAGCAAUACGAGAGCGGCAGACGGGUGAGUAACACGUGGGAACGUGCCCUUCGGUUCGGAAUAACCCAGGGAAACUUGGGCUAAUACCGGAUACGCCCUUCGGGGGAAAGAUUUAUUGCUAGAGGAUCGGCCCGCGUCUGAUUAGCUAGUUGGUAGGGUAAUGGCCUACCAAGGCGACGAUCGGUAGCCGGCCUGAGAGGGUGAUCGGCCACACUGGAACUGAGACGCGGUCCAG
RNAcentral lists this ribosomal RNA (241 nucleotides) under uncultured bacterium. RNAcentral's name for it is "partial 16S ribosomal RNA". It matches the Rfam family "Bacterial small subunit ribosomal RNA", at positions 67 to 334 of the family's 1533-position model. The record is from RNAcentral.